This 465-nucleotide ribosomal RNA is filed under the name Vreelandella stevensii. RNAcentral's name for it is "partial 16S ribosomal RNA". It matches the Rfam family "Bacterial small subunit ribosomal RNA", at positions 338 to 795 of the family's 1533-position model. Lineage: Bacteria; Pseudomonadati; Pseudomonadota; Gammaproteobacteria; Oceanospirillales; Halomonadaceae. The record is from RNAcentral.
CCUACGGGAGGCUGCAGUGGGGAAUAUUGGACAAUGGGGGCAACCCUGAUCCAGCCAUGCCGCGUGUGUGAAGAAGGCCCUCGGGUUGUAAAGCACUUUCAGUGAGGAAGAACGCCUGGUGGUUAAUACCCAUCAGGAAAGACAUCACUCACAGAAGAAGCACCGGCUAACUCCGUGCCAGCAGCCGCGGUAAUACGGAGGGUGCGAGCGUUAAUCGGAAUUACUGGGCGUAAAGCGCGCGUAGGUGGCUUGAUAAGCCGGUUGUGAAAGCCCCGGGCUCAACCUGGGAACGGCAUCCGGAACUGUCAAGCUAGAGGGCAGGAGAGGAAGGUAGAAUUCCCGGUGGAGCGGUGAAAUGCGUAGAGAUCGGGAGGAAUACCAGUGGCGAAGGCGGUCUUCUGGACUGACACUGACACUGAGGUGCGAAAGCGUGGGUAGCAAACAGGAUUAGAUACCCUAGUAGUC